Long non-coding RNA from Pipistrellus kuhlii (Kuhl's pipistrelle), 160 nucleotides. RefSeq lists it as uncharacterized. Lineage: Eukaryota; Metazoa; Chordata; Mammalia; Chiroptera; Vespertilionidae. The transcript is spliced from 4 exons. The record is from RefSeq and is a predicted model, not a curated record.
UUCCUUGUAGCAACAUAUUUUUGUCUGACAUGACCUCCUAGGGCAGUGAUCGGCGAACUCCUUAGUCCACAGAGCCAAAUAUCAACAGUACAACAAUUGAAAUUUCUUUGGAGAGCCAAAUUUUUUAAACUUAAACUUCUCCUAACGCCACUUCUUCAAA